Molecule: long non-coding RNA, 4499 nt
Organism: Megalobrama amblycephala (Wuchang bream)
Lineage: Eukaryota; Metazoa; Chordata; Actinopteri; Cypriniformes; Xenocyprididae
Exons: 5
Source: RefSeq, a predicted model, not a curated record
CGGCCGAGCUGUCAGGCUGGCCGCAGGACCAGUGGCCGAUGCGCCUGGUCCCGCUGCUCUCCGGGGAGUCCCAGAUAGCGGCACAGCAGCUUCCGGUCCAGAAUCUCCUGGUCUUUGACGACCUGAAGAGGGCCAUCCUCCAGCGGGUCGGCCGGAGCCCUGAGGAACAUCGCCAGCGUUUCCGCUCACUCGAGCUGGCUGAGUCCGGCCGGCCCUUCGCGAUGGGCCAACAGCUCCGGGACUCCUGCCGCAAAUGGCUGCUGGCUGAGGGAAGCGACGUGGAGAGGAUUAUCGAUCGAGUGGUACUGGAGCAGUUUAUUACUCGGCUACCGAAGAAGACAGCCGAGUGGGUCCAGUGCCACCGCCCCAUGUCGCGGGUCUCGGCCAUCCAACUCGCAGAGGACCAUAUGGUGGCGUGCCCUGGGGUCGGCGAACCCCUUCCAUCUGCUUCUCUCUCUCCCUCUACAUCUUCUGUCCCUCUCUCUCGUCCUGUCCCUCUCCCCAGGUCGCGGCCACCUGGCUAUCCGCGAGUCCCGACUGGCUGCCACGGGACAGGACCCCACUCCUGCUUCUCCGCUUUCUCCACGCCAAUCAUUUACCCCACUCCCUGCCACUGGAGCGGCAGGGAGGUCUGGACCAGCCUGUUGGUGUUGCGGGGACCCGAAGCAUUUCAUAGAUAAGUGCCUCGUGAUGGAGGUUGGGACAAUGGUCCGGGUCCCGGACGUCCCGCAGGCUGCCCCCGGUCAGGCUGACUGGUACCAAAUACCCUUUUAAGAUGCCACGAGGGUCAACAAUAACAACAUGUGUUGGUUGCAAAGCAGCUAUUGGUGUGGCCACCAAGACCUGCAAAUAUUGCCAAUCAAGUGCAGCCAAGAAAGCAAAGACUGGCAAAAAAACUUCUGAAAUUUGAGGACAGAAAGGAGACGUGGUUAAAAAACAAAAACAAAAACCAAACCACCUCUCAUGUUAUUGAUGAGGCAUCUGUCUUGGUGGAAAAGUUAAACACAUUGGGGUACAAGGCCAUGGUCUUUAUUGGAAAGAAAACCAAAAAGCAGAAAACCUGGUCCGCACCAGUCCUCCAGCCAAAAUGGCAGCUGUCAGACCAUUCUGAAAAAUGCCUUGACAGGAUGAAGGCUCUCUUUGAACUGUUGAUUGUACUAACCAGCAGCCCACCACCACCAGUCCUCCCAUCCAGUCCACCACCAGUUCUCCCAUCCUACCCAUCACUGAACAACCUCAGUAAAAACACGGUAAGUUUGGCUGAUUUUUCCAAAUAGCAUAUAAAUCAUGAUUCAAUUGCUAGUCGUGUUUCUUUUUCAUAUGUUGUUUAAUCAUGGUAUACAUGAUAACCAUGUUAAACAUUUAAUCUGUCUCUCCUUCUUAAACUGAAAUAAUACUACUAAUAAAUUAGUGAUGGGAAGUUCGGUUCUUUUCCACGAACCGGUUCUUUCGGACAGUUCGAUUCAAUAAACCGGUUGAAAAAAACGGUUCACCGGUUCUUUUACGCUCCGACGUAAUGACGUCAUCCGCGAUGACGCCGUCUAACGCGGGCCAGGAUGAAAAAGUGAUUCAAAUAUAUAAGGCUUGUUCGACUUGAUGCAGCGCCGCAAAGACCGAUCGUCGGCUGACUUGAAGCAGUGCAUGCCGGUUAGAAAUUUUGUCUGACUUGAUACAGCGCUGACGCCACGUGACUGUGACGUGUGCCAUCAAAGUACCGCGAGAGCGAUUCGAGAGUAGCCGAAGAACUCAGCCAGCGCAGCUUCUGAAGAGCGGCUGCACAGGUUCUGAUGACGACACAACUGGUCCACGAUUGGCUGGAUACACUGAUGACACCGAUGACGUGCGUUUCAAGUUUAUUGCGACGACUUCAGUUUCAGAAAUUCUCAUAUGGACUUUUAAAACAGUUCAAUAAGUUUUUAUGUCGUCUUCAUCUUAUAAAUCAUAUUUAUUAAAUAUUGUUUUACUGUAUUUACUUUAUUGUUAAUAUAGAGUUUGUGUAUGUUUAUUUUGCAUGACUUUCUUUUUUAUACAGACCUUUUACAGUAUUCAGCAGCAUAACCUAUUCAAAUGAGCAUUUUUAAUAACUAAAAUGUUAAUCUUAAAAACAUGCAAUCUAAUGUGGUCAUAAAUGUAUGCUCCUAUACAAAUGAUACAUAAUACAUUAUGUUCCUCCAUUUGUUUGGUUUCUUCAUAUUCUCUAGUUUAUUUUGCUGUGUUUAUACUUCACCUGCAUGUGGUUAGCAAACUGCUAACAACUUGCUGUAACUUCAACUUAACAACUUGACAACAUUCUGUUCACUUUCAAAUAGUUGGUCUAAAUCACAAUAUAAAUCCAACAGAAUUGUGCUUUUCUGUAUAUGAAAAUCAAUGGUGUUAUGUUUAAAAUGUUAAGAAGAGCUCAGCUGGAGGGUACUGUAAAUCUUGUUGCUGAAACCUUCUUAAAAAACACAUACCCACCAGGGAAUUUUUUUAUAGGUUACUUUUAUCAUUUUGUAUUAGCAGAAACACCUAUGUCAUACUACUAAAGUAUAUAUCCAAUAUGUUAUCUUGUUUUGGAAGACACCCUUCCAAAACACCACUUAUACACACAUCUUAAACGCGCGUUAAUACCAUUAAUACAUAGAGUUACUUAAUCACUAAAUCAUGAAAACAAUGGAAGUCACUGAUACAAAUGUUGAGCCAAAACUGAAAGUGGACUUAAAAUGGUAAUUGCAAUUGUUGCUAACUAUAACUAAUAAUGAAUGGAACAGGUGUUGGCUAUGGUCCCAUGGUUCCUUAGGAUAUAUAAAGAACCUGCAUUACCCUGUGUAACACACAACAAAAUGGACAACGUAACCAUUAAUGUGUUAGACAGCAAAGGCAAUGUUGUCAUGCUAACGGUUUCCAAGGACAUCGCUGAAAGGAUGCAAAAUGGUAAGUAAACCACAUGACUGUGAAAUAAUUACAAGUCACCAAUGAUUUGUGCAAGUGUUUUAUUUAUCAUUUAUUCCCCCAGAUCAAAUGUUCCUUUCCUCUGUCAUGGAGAAAGUAUCAGCUGUUGAAACAAAAGGUACACAUUUACUUAAUGAACAAGAAUAUACAGGAAAUAAUUCUUGAGUGACACUGACCACAUCUACAAUCUUCUCUCCAAACAGCUCUCCUCAGUGGCCCAGCUUGUGCUGCAAAGCUUCUCCAACCUUCUAUUCCAUGUCCCACUACCUCCACUAGGUCGCCGGCACCCCUAAACCUCAGUUUUGUGAAACCACCAUCCACCAGCCAGUGCCCCAUUACUACCACUAGGCCCCCUGUACUACUUACCUCCACUGUCAAGGACCCACCACCUUCCACUCUGCAACCUGGUGCAGUGUGUGGAAACCCUUCAGCAUCCAUUCAACCUUCAUCCCCUUCCUUCCAGUCAGACAGGCAUGAAUCUCAAGAAAUAACACAUACAAUGACACUAUUUCUACUGGACCUUACAAAAACUCAUCAGCACCUUUAUUUUCGGAACAAAAUGGCAUACAAAACUUAUUCUCACUAAAGGGCUACAACUUGUCAAGUGAGAAAAUUCGAAAAAAGCUAGCAAACAUGUUAACUACUUAUAAGAGAGUGAAAGACAGGCGCCGUGCAACUGGGGAAGGGAAGAUCACCUGGGAGUACUAUACAGUAAGUUGAAGACUGCUUUACUUUGUUUCUGAAAUAACAUUGUCAUGUGUUACAAGACUGAAACAUUGGUCAUUUUCAUUUUUCAUCCACCCCCACCAGCUAAUGGAUGAGUUAUUUGAAAAGACAAGAGCAAAUUAUGCAUCUAUUACAGAACCCACAUGAACCCCAAUAAAAUUAUAAUCUAAAGAUGUUAUCUCUUUUGAUUUACACCUUUGCCCAAAAUGUCCUCUGUUUUUUUCCCCCCAAAUAACAAUUUCUAAUGACAAACUAAUUUUGUUCAAUAAAACAAAUUUCUUUAUUUCAACACAAAAUCUGUUUGUGUUUUAUCAUUUUUUGAAUAUUUCUGAACAUUCAAAUCUUUACUUUUCAUCUUUUGUUUUGUAUGUUAACUAUACACAUACAAGUUAGAUCUGGCCACAAAUCUGGUCUCUAUAAUGACAGGCAUGAGUGUUGUGGGGUUGCUGGGGGUAUGGUUCAUCAUCAACACCAUCACCUACCACAACUACUUGAUCACUGGGCUCUAAACAAAGAUUAUGCAAAAUGCAGCAUGCUGAGACUGCUGAACUGAUAUUUGAAAUGCUUCUCAUUUGCAGACACUGGAGCCUCCUAAACUUACAUUUUAGAAUGCCAAAUGCAUGCUCAAUGACCACACGAGCAGUAUUGAGCUUUCUGUUAAAAUAUCUUUGCCUAGCAGACAAGUGGCCAUUGUCUCUAUAAGGCCUCAUAAGUUGAGGCAACAAAGGGUAGGCAGAAUCCCCAAUUAUGUGCAUUCCCUGUGGAACAAGUGAAUGAGGAUCUUCUUCAAGAACACGACAAACUUCUGUGAAGCGAAAUGCUCUGGCAUCAUGCCAACUCCC